GCCAGCGGUGUGACUGCCUGCCUGCUUUAUCAACCGCUUUCAGUAACAAUCUGCUAAUAAACUUGGGAAGGAACGGUGGCGUUGUUCUCAGCUAAACGCCAUGAAAAUGCUCCUCUACUAUUUCUCAACAGAGGUGAAAAGCUUUUGUAGCUUCCUGGAAAUGGCCGAAGCAGGCGACGCGUAGAUCAAAGACUGUGAUCUUUGUCUGCAAUUAAUCAUUGUUCAGGACGGCCCUUACCGAUGGUAGAAUCCAUGAGCUGCUCCAGCUGGGAAAGGUCCUAAAGCGUGCGCCUGGCGCCGGGUACGUGCAAACCAGGGCCAGAAAUUGCUGGGGCAGCAGGCGUUGUGCAGCGAGCCCGCUGUGCCGACCCAGUGAAUUGUGUGGGUCCUCAGCACUUCUGGAAAUUGUUUUUUGUAAGUCUGAGCUGAAAAUGUAUUUCUGUUUUUUAGAGUUUCUGAAUUACUAUAAUGUUCAAUGUAGUUUAAAAGUCACCGAGGCAGUUGAGACCGGUUGCACUCCCAGAGUGGGUGGUUUCAUGGCUGAACCUCAUAUCUGAAAAGCUAAACGUUCUGGUACAGCGUGUUUAAAUCCCAAAAAGGUCAAACCAGACUUUCAUACUUGAGUUAGAUUGACCUUGGUUUGCUGCAUGAGACUCUUUAGAGAAAGAAAGAGAUCUUUGAACAGCUUGUGGUGACUCUACGCACAUUCUUGAAGCAAAGGGGUUUGUUCUUGCCCACAGCAUCCCUCCCCUGCAUUGUCGAGUGGAAAACUCUUAUGCUAAUUAUCUCGCUGUCUGUUAUCAAUAAGAAGUGAUUUAAUUUCUUUGGCAAAGUGUUGCAACAAGAGCAAAUUAGAUUGAGAGGCAAAGUGAAAUAAAAAAUAUGCAGCUGUUCUGCCAAACAAUAAUCGUGACUGUUUACAACGUUUUGUUUUAGACUGGCUUGUACACAGAAUCCUUUCUACUGAAGGUUUUCAUGUCACAAUCCGCUGCUCGUGCAAGGAAACCAGAUUAAUAGAUUAUAAAGGACAAAAGAGACCUAGGUUCAUCUGGUUCGGCUUCCUGCAUUAUGCAGGUCAUAAGGUUUUUGUGAAUUUGUUGCUUUUUCUCAUUUGGAAGAAUUUAACUACAGCAUACCUGCAUCUUAGAAAAACAUCGGAUUUUCAUUUUAAAAUGGGCUGUGAGAGAGAGUAAAAUACGAGAUUUGUUUCUAUCAGACUCUCCCUGACAGACUAGAAAUCAAAAUACCUUUUUAAACUUGUCUAGUUUCUGCUUUCAGUUUCUGGAUGGUGCUGUUAUCUCGGUCUGCUUGACGGAGGAAUGCUCCAUUGCCAGAUUUCCGUCCCUGUGUAGCUGUGUACAGGCUGACCAACUGAGCGUUUAACACUCCUGCUGCAGACGUGCAGAGCUCCCCCUCGGGUCCGUCUGUACUAAUCCUGUAACCAUUCCUGUGGCGGUUCCCUGUGAGCACUCCAGUUUUUCACCCUUUUGAUCUGGGCAGAAGGGGACAGAGCGAUCAGCGGUGAUCAUACCCAUGCCGACAGCGCUCCUGGCCGAGACGUCUCUGUUAGGCAUCCAGGGAUUACAGCAGCCCGUGUUCAGCUAGUUUCCCAGCACGGCUCCUAAAAUAUUCUCAGUUCUGCUCCUUCUUGGGAUGGCAUCCCCAACCUGUUGGUUUGUGCUUGUUGUGCAUGUAUGGCUUUACACUUGGCCCUCUUGAAAAGGACGAGUCCUUAGACAGCAUUGUGGCUUGCCACAGUCUCUUUUUGUACCCCCUCCUGCUACUGUUGAGUGUCACCUACAAACUUGAUUGGUAAUGAUUUUAUAUUUUCUUCCAGAUAAACAACUGUUUCUGUCUCCGCUGUAGGAGUUUCCUGGUUCCGGGUGUGUGUACACCUCAGCUGUGUCAAUAUUGUGUGAGGAGGAGGUCUGGAUGUACAAUGGUGUACAUCCUCUUGCCACACCCCAGUUUCAUGGGAAGAAAGCCCAGUUCAGGAGCCGGAAGGGAGCCAGGAGGCACACUGCAGCAUUUGCCUGCCCUGGUGACUAUAACAUAGCCAUUAAAUAAUGUAGGGCCCAAAACAGGUAGUUGCAGGACCCAUAGAAGAAAGAUGAUGACUCUAGGACACAGUGCUUACAACUAUAUUUUGAUACCUUCCUGUUAGAUGGAUUCCAAUCCAUUUGAUUAUGCCUUCUUGCUCUUAUAUUGUCUUUCUUACAAUCACGUAAAUGCUUCACAGGGGUUGAAGUACAGCCCGUCAGCCCUCUUGCAGAAAUCUCCUACUAGUGCUAUUACCAUUCACCACCGAACCUUGCAGUUUGUCAAAACAAUUUCUCUCUCAGCAGCUAAACUCGUGAAGCUUUGUUUCCCAUGGAUUUGUGUCUGUAAAUGCCCCCCUGACAAAUCUUCCAGCUCUUUCCCAGUCUUGCCUUGCCCUGUCUGGCUGAGCCAGGGGUAAUGUGUUGGCUGGGAGCUCCACAGGGGCCAAGCAGGCAGGGGUACUGCCCCUGGGGGACAGCCAAGGGCUGAGUUCUGCCCACCUUUCGCACCACCAAGGUGGUGCCUCUACUAUGUACUCUACUCAGCUGUUCAUUCAAGACCUAAAUAUGUUUGGGACUUCUUCCCCACUGCCAAAUUUGAUCGAGAUUGGAGGAAGGAGAGGAAAAAUUACAUGGAACAACAUAGUCACAUUAGACUGUUUUAUUUUUAGGAAACCAGGCUAAGAAUAUCAAAGAAAUACUGAGUAGGAAUAUGGACAGUGUAUUUGCCUGCUCAGGUUUUUUUGCCAUGAAAUUUUUCAUUUCUUCCUAAGAACAGCAGGUGAUCUGUCUAGGGAAUUUCUCAACCAAAAUAAGCAACCUCCUGACAGAUUUCACCUGUGCCCCAGCGUGCUCUGAGGAUGCCUGGGACGGAAGCAUUGAACAGUGACAGGGAAUCGCUAGGCGGCCGCGUUGUUUGGCUGCCUGGGUGCAAAGGGAUGUAUGGCGAUACCCAAGAGUGGAACAAAAGUUUAUUUUGUUUAAGAUCCAUAGAACUUUUGAUGGGCGUGUUGGAUAUUUGCCAGGGCCGGGUUUUCUGGUUUCUUUUUAAACUGUAUCUGUUCAUUUUAUUUCUGCUGGUAUUAUGACAAAGCCACCUCUGUAAGAUAGGCAGUGAGUGCUUUCAGAGAUCUAAUCAUUCUUGAGCUGUACAGGAAUAAAGAAGCUGUUUCAACACCUGA
This is a long non-coding RNA of Egretta garzetta (little egret), 3220 nucleotides long. RefSeq lists it as uncharacterized. Lineage: Eukaryota; Metazoa; Chordata; Aves; Pelecaniformes; Ardeidae. The record is from RefSeq and is a predicted model, not a curated record. The transcript has 2 exons.